Molecule: unclassified non-coding RNA, 377 nt
Filed under: uncultured Gammaproteobacteria bacterium
Lineage: Bacteria; Pseudomonadati; Pseudomonadota; Gammaproteobacteria
Description: contains 16S-23S intergenic spacer region
Source: RNAcentral
UCCGGUUUGUCACCGGCAGUCUCAUUAGAGUGCCCAACUGAAUGUAGCAACUAAUGACAAGGGUUGCGCUCGUUGCGGGACUUAACCCAACAUCUCACGACACGAGCUGACGACAGCCAUGCAGCACCUGUGUUCCCGUUCCCUUUCGGGCACAGCCGGGUUUCCCCAGCCUCCAGGACAUGUCAAGGGUAGGUAAGGUUUUUCGCGUUGCAUCGAAUUAAUCCACAUAAUCCACCGCUUGUGCGGGUCCCCGUCAAUUCCUUUGAGUUUUAACCUUGCGGCCGUACUCCCCAGGCGGUCGACUUCACGCGUUAGCUUCGUUACUGAGAGUGUCAAACCCCCAACAACCAGUCGACAUCGUUUAGGGCGUGGACUAC